This is a non-coding RNA of Coturnix japonica (Japanese quail), 350 nucleotides long. The record is from RefSeq and is a predicted model, not a curated record. NCBI's taxonomy places the organism in Eukaryota, Metazoa, Chordata, Aves, Galliformes, Phasianidae.
AGGAAGGAGCCACAGGCAGUUCAGAGAGCCAGCCCACCUCACCUUCAGGCUUCUACUGUAGAGCUCCCUGUUCCUUUUUGAAGCCAGCAGAAGCAGGCACAACACCUCUAAAAAGGGGGAAGGAAGGAGCACAGGCAGGCAGAGAGGCCAGCCCACCUCACCUUCAGGCUAUCUGACUGUAAGAAGCUCCCUGUUCCUUUUUGAAGAAGCAGAAGCAGGCACAACUCCUCUAAAAAGGUAAGAUAAAUACCAAAGUAAAUACAACAUAAAUACAGCUUCCCCAAAGAAAAGAAUAGAAAAGAGAAAAGAAAAAGGGAAGGGAAAUAAAGGGAAAGGGAAAUAAAAGGAAA